UGCCUCAGCAGCAAUAUACUAAAAUUGGAAUGAUACAGAGAAGGUUAGCACGUCCCCUACACAAAAAUGACAUGCAAAUUCAUGAAGCAUUACACACACAC
Molecule: small nuclear RNA, 101 nt
Filed under: Catagonus wagneri (Chacoan peccary)
Lineage: Eukaryota; Metazoa; Chordata; Mammalia; Artiodactyla; Tayassuidae
Source: RNAcentral